UGGCGCGCUGGGCUAUGUCGCAGAACCUCCCAAGUUAUCAGGCCCACAUGCACUUGUCCUUGUCUCAAAGACCUCAGACAGCUAUGCGUGUGCACCAAACAACUUAACAGGAUCUGUCCGAGUGCCCCGAGGACCCCGGAUAAACGACUUAUCGCCAAGAUCGCAUGAUUAAGUAAAUACAAAUCACACACCAACAUUUGCAGCGGAAAUAAAUUCUUUAUUACAAAAUGAUUACAUGUUACAAUAAUUUUACAUUAUACAAUUAUCGGAGUGAUUACAAGAGAAAAUGAUUCAAAAGAAUUACAAAUUAAAAUGUAUAAAAUAUUUAUAGGUUUUCAAAUACAUGCUAGCUUAAGUGACAAUCCUCAAUAAAGAAGCUAAAGAUGGGAUAUACUUAUAUAAGAAGGCCGAACCCACCGGCACUUAGCACCAUCCACAACAGAACAAACUUAUAACCUGAAAAACAACAGGGAAUAAAGCCCUGAGUACGCAAUUACUCAGCAAGACUUACCCGACUAAAGAAAAGACUCUCAAGGGUAUGCUG
Molecule: long non-coding RNA, 544 nt
Filed under: Zea mays
Lineage: Eukaryota; Viridiplantae; Streptophyta; Magnoliopsida; Poales; Poaceae
Description: drought responsive lncRNA
Source: RNAcentral